This 99-nucleotide non-coding RNA is filed under the name Hafnia alvei FB1. RNAcentral's name for it is "Plasmid-encoded Shigella sRNA A". It matches the Rfam family "Plasmid-encoded Shigella sRNA A". Lineage: Bacteria; Pseudomonadati; Pseudomonadota; Gammaproteobacteria; Enterobacterales; Hafniaceae. The record is from Rfam by way of RNAcentral.
UGGCUGAGAAAAGAGUUUUAAUGUUUAAAAAAAGAGAUCAUCCUUACGCGUUAUGAUCUCGAAGCGACAGGCACAAAACGGAGAGAAACUAUGUUUGAA